RNAcentral lists this ribosomal RNA (253 nucleotides) under uncultured bacterium. RNAcentral's name for it is "partial 16S ribosomal RNA". It matches the Rfam family "Bacterial small subunit ribosomal RNA", at positions 524 to 776 of the family's 1533-position model. The record is from RNAcentral.
UACAGAGGGUGCAAGCGUUGUUCGGAAUUAUUGGGCGUAAAGGGCGCGUAGGCGGUUCGGCAAGUCUCUAGUGAAAUCUCUGGGCUCAACUCAGAGUCUGCUGGGGAAACUGCCGGGCUUGAGUGUGGGAGAGGAGAGUGGAAUUCCCGGUGUAGCGGUGAAAUGCGUAGAUAUCAGGAGGAACACCAGUGGCGAAGGCGGAUCUCUGGGCCAUUACUGACGCUGAGGAGCGAAAGCGUGGGGAGCGAACAGG